AAGAAGGGAAUGGGUGUAACCUGUCCUCAAGUAAGCACGGCCUGGUGAGCAUUAAGUGUAACCGGUUAGAUUAGUGGAAUGCUGGGAAAGCCCCACCAGGAAGGAGUGUAAGUAGAUGAGAAACUAUGCCAUAAGCACCUUCCUCCCCUUGGGCUACAUUCCCAUGCUUUUUGGCUUUCAUUAACUCUCAGGCUCUGUAGACAGGUCUAUUGUCAGUCAAACCUAAACUGGGUAGAAAAUCCACAGAUUACCAGGGACACCUCUUUCUCCAUUCUUGUGGUUCCCAUUCAGAUAUUUUUACCCUAAAAACAAUGCCUCUCUUUUGUAACUCCCAGAAGUUUCUGAAAUAGGUCAAGAAAGGCCACUCACUUAACUCCAAAGUUCACUACCUGACAAUUUGUCCCCAGUCUGUAUCCCAACUAUAUCCAGCCUCACUCAUCAGAGAAGAUUAUACAAGGAACUCAGUCCAACUCCAGAAAAACAAAAAUAAAACUAACACUCACACACCAUUACAAAGUUUCCACACAAAAAUUACAGUUCUUAGAGAAUAUAAAAGUUCCAGCAAUGCAAUCAGUCUUCCAUUGUUGCCACUGAGAAAGUAAAAUCCUGAAAUCAAGUAUCUCCCACUUUGCUACUUAAAGAAAUCGGGCCAGGCGUCAUGGCUCACACGUGUAAUCCAGCACUUUGGGAGGUCAAGGCGGGUAGAUCACAAGGUUAGGAGAUUGAGACCAUCCUGGCUAACAUGGUGAAAGCUCGUCUCUACUAAAAAUACACAAAAUUAGCCAGGCAUGGUGGCAUGCACCUGUAGUCCCAGCUACUUGGGAGGCUGAGGCAGGAGAAUCACUUGAACCUGGUAGGUAGUGGUUGCAGUGAGCCAAGAUCACGCCACCGCACUCCAGCCUGAGCAACAGAAUGGGACUCUGUCUCAAGAAAAAGAAAAAAAAAACGGAAAUCAAUUUUGCAAAAUGUCCUUUCCAUGUUUCUUUUCAUUCUGCACACCCCAAUCUGAGGAUCGCUCUCCAGAAUCUGGGGGGAGUCUUGGUUUCUUUCAAUAGUUACAACAUGGACUGGCUUGUUGAGACUGGUCUGACUCUUCCGAUCUCUCUCAGGAGUCUCCUCCGUCUGGAGUCAGCAGCCCCUUGCACCUCAGAGACCCAUCAGGCUUAAGUUUCCAAGAAGCCAGCUGGACCCCAGGG
RNAcentral lists this long non-coding RNA (1196 nucleotides) under Callithrix jacchus (white-tufted-ear marmoset). RNAcentral's name for it is "lncRNA (ENSCJAG00000072534.1)". The record is from RNAcentral. Lineage: Eukaryota; Metazoa; Chordata; Mammalia; Primates; Cebidae.